CUUCACCGAGCCCAGCCACAGCGGCCGGUCGCGGUGGGCGCUGCCGUAGGUGUUCAGCAGGGCGCGCGCCUC
This 72-nucleotide antisense RNA is filed under the name Nocardia terpenica. RNAcentral's name for it is "ASpks TB sRNA". It matches the Rfam family "ASpks TB sRNA". Lineage: Bacteria; Bacillati; Actinomycetota; Actinomycetes; Mycobacteriales; Nocardiaceae. The record is from Rfam by way of RNAcentral.